RNAcentral lists this transfer RNA (68 nucleotides) under human gut metagenome. It matches the Rfam family "tRNA", at positions 5 to 66 of the family's 71-position model. Rfam says of the family: Transfer RNA (tRNA) molecules are approximately 80 nucleotides in length. Their secondary structure includes four short double-helical elements and three loops (D, anti-codon, and T loops). The record is from RNAcentral.
CCAUAGCGCAACUGGAUAGAGCGUUCGGCUUCGAACCGAAAGGUUGCGGGUUCAAGUCCUGCUGGAUG